AUUGAACGCUGGCGGCAGGCCUAACACAUGCAAGUCGAGCGGGUGAGUGGAGCUUGCUCCAUGAUUCAGCGGCGGACGGGUGAGUAAUGCCUAGGAAUCUGCCUGGUAGUGGGGGACAACGUUUCGAAAGGAACGCUAAUACCGCAUACGUCCUACGGGAGAAAGCAGGGGACCUUCGGGCCUUGCGCUAUCAGAUGAGCCUAGGUCGGAUUAGCUAGUAGGUGAGGUAAUGGCUCACCUAGGCGACGAUCCGUAACUGGUCUGAGAGGAUGAUCAGUCACACUGGAACUGAGACACGGUCCAGACUCCUACGGGAGGCAGCAGUGGGGAAUAUUGGACAAUGGGCGAAAGCCUGAUCCAGCCAUGCCGCGUGUGUGAAGAAGGUCUUCGGAUUGUAAAGCACUUUAAGUUGGGAGGAAGGGCAGUAAGUUAAUACCUUGCUGUUUUGACGUUACCAACAGAAUAAGCCCCGGCUAACUUCGUGCCAGCAGCCGCGGUAA
Molecule: ribosomal RNA, 500 nt
Filed under: uncultured bacterium
Lineage: Bacteria
Description: partial 16S ribosomal RNA
Rfam family: Bacterial small subunit ribosomal RNA
Source: RNAcentral